UUAGUUGGUGGCGUGAGUUGUCUGGUUGAUUCCGUUAACGAACGAGACCUUCAUCUUUAAAUAGGCACUGUGAGAUAUUGCGUUAUGGCUGUAGGGGCCUAUUGGCAGAAGGGUUCGUCCCCUGCCGAUAGUUGCACCUUGCAGUUGCAAUCUCGCAGGAUGAUCUUCUUAAAGAGACAAUAUGUGAUAAGCAUAUGGAAGUUGAAGGCAAAAACAGG
This 218-nucleotide ribosomal RNA is filed under the name uncultured eukaryote. Its description in RNAcentral is "partial small subunit ribosomal RNA". It matches the Rfam family "Eukaryotic small subunit ribosomal RNA", at positions 1294 to 1460 of the family's 1831-position model. The record is from RNAcentral.